Molecule: ribosomal RNA, 325 nt
Filed under: uncultured eukaryote
Lineage: Eukaryota
Description: partial 18S ribosomal RNA
Rfam family: Eukaryotic small subunit ribosomal RNA
Source: RNAcentral
CCCUUAGAUGUUCUGGGCCGCACGCGCGCUACACUGAUGCAUUCAACGAGCCUAUCCUUGACCGACAGGUCCCGGUAAUCUUUGAAUCUGCAUCGUGACGGGGAUAGAUUAUUGCAAUUAUUAAUCUUCAACGAGGAAUGCCUAGUAGGCGCAAGUCAUCAGCUUGCGUCGAUUACGUCCCUGCCCUUUGUACACACCGCCCGUCGCUCCUACCGAUUGGGUGUGCUGGUGAAAUGUUCGGAUCGGCCGUUUGUCGCGGUUUCCGCGUCAAGUGGCUGAGAAGUUCAUUAAACCCUCCCACCUAGAGGAAGGAGAAGUCGUAACA